Molecule: ribosomal RNA, 723 nt
Filed under: uncultured bacterium
Lineage: Bacteria
Description: bacterial SSU rRNA
Rfam family: Bacterial small subunit ribosomal RNA
Source: RNAcentral
GGAUAACACUUGGAAACAGGUGCUAAUACCGUAUAACACUAUUUUCCGCAUGGAAGAAAGUUGAAAGGCGCUUUUGCGCCACUGAUGGAUGGACCCGCGGUGCAUUAGCUAGUUGGUGAGGUAACGGCUCACCAAGGCCACGAUGCAUAGCCGACCUGAGAGGGUGAUCGGCCACACUGGGACUGAGACACGGCCCAGACUCCUACGGGAGGCAGCAGUAGGGAAUCUUCGGCAAUGGACGAAAGUCUGACCGAGCAACGCCGCGUGAGUGAAGAAGGUUUUCGGAUCGUAAAACUCUGUUGUUAGAGAAGAACAAGGAUGAGAGUAAAACGUUCAUCCCUUGACGGUAUCUAACCAGAAAGCCACGGCUAACUACGUGCCAGCAGCCGCGGUAAUACGUAGGUGGCAAGCGUUGUCCGGAUUUAUUGGGCGUAAAGCGAGCGCAGGCGGUUUCUUAAGUCUGAUGUGAAAGCCCCCGGCUCAACCGGGGAGGGUCAUUGGAAACUGGGAGACUUGAGUGCAGAAGAGGAGAGUGGAAUUCCAUGUGUAGCGGUGAAAUGCGUAGAUAUAUGGAGGAACACCAGUGGCGAAGGCGGCUCUCUGGUCUGUAACUGACGCUGAGGCUCGAAAGCGUGGGGAGCGAACAGGAUUAGAUACCCUGGUAGUCCACGCCGUAAACGAUGAGUGCUAAGUGUUGGAGGGUUUCCGCCCUUCAGUGCUGCA